UCCUACGGGGGGCAGCAGUGAGGAAUAUUGGUCAAUGGGCGAGAGCCUGAACCAGCCAAGUCGCGUGAAGGAUGACGGCCCUACGGGUUGUAAACUUCUUUUGUCAGGGAGCAAUUGGGUCCACGCGUGGGCUUAGCGAGAGUACCUGAAGAAAAAGCAUCGGCUAACUCCGUGCCAGCAGCCGCGGUAAUACGUAGGGAGCAAGCGUUAUCCGGAUUUACUGGGUGUAAAGGGCGUGUAGGCGGGCUUGUAAGUCAGAAGUGAAAUCUGGGGGCUUAACCCCCAAACUGCUUUUGAAACUGCGG
This 305-nucleotide ribosomal RNA is filed under the name uncultured bacterium. RNAcentral describes it as "bacterial SSU rRNA". It matches the Rfam family "Bacterial small subunit ribosomal RNA", at positions 337 to 638 of the family's 1533-position model. The record is from RNAcentral.